Ornithorhynchus anatinus (platypus) is the source of this 70-nucleotide non-coding RNA. NCBI's taxonomy places the organism in Eukaryota, Metazoa, Chordata, Mammalia, Monotremata, Ornithorhynchidae. The record is from Rfam.
AGCAGCGUGGCUAAGUGGAAAGAGCACAGGCUUGGGAGCCUGCUCGUGGGUUCUAAUCCUGCCUCCGCCA